UACGUAGGUGGCAAGCGUUGUCCGGAAUUACUGGGCGUAAAGGGCUCGUAGGCGGCCAACUAAGUCAGACGUGAAAUCCCUCGGCUUAACCGGGGAACUGCGUCUGAUACUGGAUGGCUUGAGUUUGGGAGAGGGAUGCGGAAUUCCAGGUGUAGCGGUGAAAUGCGUAGAUAUCUGGAGGAACACCGGUGGCGAAGGCGGCAUCCUGGACCAACACUGACGCUGAGUGAGCGAAAGCCAGGGGAGCAAACGGG
RNAcentral lists this ribosomal RNA (254 nucleotides) under uncultured bacterium. RNAcentral's name for it is "partial 16S ribosomal RNA". It matches the Rfam family "Bacterial small subunit ribosomal RNA", at positions 524 to 776 of the family's 1533-position model. The record is from RNAcentral.